UUUGAGACAAUGGAUGGUGGCGGUGAUGGAGGGAAACGGGAGGAUAUAGUCCCAAACAGGCGCCACCCGGUUGACUUCAAACUUAGGAGGAUUUCUGAUGAUACCAGGAAAGUGAAGUUUUCAAGAUGAUCAUUUAUCGAGACCUUAACCCCAAUAUUUAUUUUAUUUUGCAUGCACUUGAUACUAAUCAUGGUAACCAUGUUUGAAAUGAGACACAACCCACAGAAUGUAGAGAUUGUGAGUUUGUAAAUAGAGACCCUUGACCCCAAAUACACUAUUGUAACAAUGCCACGCUCCGACACAGGAACAUUUUAAACCUGCAAAAAAAUGGUCACGAGACGUUGAGACAUUAAAACUAUCAUUUUGUCUUUAUUUACAAAAAGAAAAUCAACAGACAUUCUAGUUUCUAUAAUAUUAUGGUUUAAAAAUAGAUUUAAAAAAUCUGAGAAAGUAACUCAGUAGAACGAACAAGAAGACUGGUGGUUUCUGUUCAAGAAUUGAGAAUAUCUAACUCAGCAUUCAAAAGUUAUUCUAAUAUGCAUUAAGAAUGACACAAAACCGAAGCCCUUUUCUUAUGUGUGAUGGUAGAUUCCUAAAAAAAACCCAGUAACUACCACCAGUUACACCCAACAGCGGAAGCCAUC
Scophthalmus maximus (turbot) is the source of this 644-nucleotide long non-coding RNA. RefSeq lists it as uncharacterized. NCBI's taxonomy places the organism in Eukaryota, Metazoa, Chordata, Actinopteri, Pleuronectiformes, Scophthalmidae. The record is from RefSeq and is a predicted model, not a curated record. The transcript has 2 exons.